UACGUAGGGGGCUAGCGUUGUCCGGAAUCAUUGGGCGUAAAGAGCGUGUAGGCGGCCCGGUAAGUCCGCUGUGAAAGUCGGGGGCUCAACCCUCGAAUGCCGGUGGAUACUGUCGGGCUAGAGUGCGGAAGAGGCGAGUGGAAUUCCUGGUGUAGCGGUGAAAUGCGCAGAUAUCAGGAAGAACACCAAUGGCGAAAGCAGCUUUCUGGGACGGUACUGACGCUGAGACGCGAAAGCGUGGGGAGCGAACAGG
This 253-nucleotide ribosomal RNA is filed under the name uncultured bacterium. Its description in RNAcentral is "partial 16S ribosomal RNA". It matches the Rfam family "Bacterial small subunit ribosomal RNA", at positions 524 to 776 of the family's 1533-position model. The record is from RNAcentral.